AUGAUGAGCGGUAAUGCUGAUGGUGGAACAAGGGUUGGCGGUGGUACUGAGGCUGCACAAGUUGAAUGUUCAACAUCACUGGCAAGAGACAUGGUUAGGGAUCAUGGUCUUGCCACAGGGUUGUGUGGCCAGCCUGGGAUUGCUGAGUACAUGGAGAAGUGCAGAAUUCCGUACAAGGUCAUUUCCAAAGGAAGGGAGCAGGAUAGGGUGAGUGGUGCUGGGAAUCCGCCAGGUGAUCCGGCGGUGAAGAGUGAGUGGGGAGAGAUGUUCCGUCAUUCCGUCGGACUAAACCAUGACCAGCUCUCGCUUCAGGAUGUUCUUCGGUUCUAUGACAACAUGCUGGGCUGUUCUAGGGAACUGCGGAAGAAAUGGUUUAGGUACUUCAAUCCGUUUGCGGUGGUGAUGUCCAAGCAAGACCUGAAGGAUGAACUAGGACUUGGUGGUGAGUUAUCAAUGACUGGCUGGAGGUGCAUCCAUGGCAUGAUAAGUGCCAAGAAAUGA
Molecule: ribosomal RNA, 501 nt
Filed under: Triticum aestivum (bread wheat)
Lineage: Eukaryota; Viridiplantae; Streptophyta; Magnoliopsida; Poales; Poaceae
Description: partial small subunit ribosomal RNA
Source: RNAcentral